This 214-nucleotide long non-coding RNA is filed under the name Oryza brachyantha (malo sina). Its description in RNAcentral is "long non-coding RNA (OBRA_LNC000173)". Lineage: Eukaryota; Viridiplantae; Streptophyta; Magnoliopsida; Poales; Poaceae. The record is from RNAcentral.
UCCACGUGUCGGCGACCAAGAGAGAGGGAGGUCGGUGAGCCGAACCUUGGGUGCGAGGUUUUGGGCCGCAGCAUGGCUCGGCCCGGAGCGGGAGGAAAGAGAGCGCAGGGAGGUGGGAGUGAGCGGCCUAGGGAAAGAGUUGGGCCGCCUAGGAAAAAGAGGAGGGGAAGGGGAGGAGAGGUCGGCUAGAGGGAGGAUGAGUGGGCCGGAAGGA